This 376-nucleotide ribosomal RNA is filed under the name uncultured bacterium. RNAcentral describes it as "bacterial SSU rRNA". It matches the Rfam family "Bacterial small subunit ribosomal RNA", at positions 524 to 898 of the family's 1533-position model. The record is from RNAcentral.
UACGUAGGAUGCAAGCGUUAUCCGGAUUUACUGGGCGUAAAGAGCGCGUAGGUGGUUUCGUAAGUUGGGCGUGAAAGCCCCCGGCUUAACUGGGGAGGGUCGUUCAAAACUACGAGACUUGAGGGUAGAAGAGGAGAUUGGAAUUCCCGGUGUAGUGGUGAAAUGCGUAGAUAUCGGGAGGAACACCUGUGGUGAAGACGAAUCUCUGGGCCACUCCUGACACUAAGGCGCGAAAGCGUGGGGAGCGAACGGAAUUAGAUACUCCGGUAGUCCACGCCCUAAACGAUGGACACUAGGUGUGGUGGGUAUCGACCCCCGCCGUGCCGUAGUCAACACAAUAAGUGUCCCGCCUGGGGACUACGAGCGCAAGCUUAAA